UAUGCCUCGAACUCGAUAGGUUUCCCCGCCUCAGCCUGAGGUCGGGGGAUGAAAAGGGAAGCCGGUGAGAAUCCGGCGCAGGGCCGCUGCUGUAUUCGGUCAGAAGAACGGGCAUCACCGCCACUACGGCGCCCGCCGUGGGAAGGCCGCCCGAACUUCGCGACGAACCGAAAGCCAGAAGACCUGCCUGUCGAGCGUCGUUCGG
RNAcentral lists this non-coding RNA (205 nucleotides) under Fimbriiglobus ruber. Lineage: Bacteria; Pseudomonadati; Planctomycetota; Planctomycetia; Gemmatales; Gemmataceae. The record is from RNAcentral.